AGAAGCUCAAUAAAAUUGAGACGGCGUGCGACGUUGCUCUUAUUGUGCUGGUGCCAACAACUGUCCUGCUUCUUAUGUCUCUGUAGUUUUAUUUCUUCUAGUUCGAUAAGCAACCUUAUUAUCUACUGGGUUAAGGAACCCUAUCAUGGUUUGUGUAUGUAGUAUAUGCUAGGCUUGAAUGGUUGCAGUGACUCAGGUUCUGAGGUAACAAGUAUCUAUGUGUCUGAGUUGGUUUGACAUUAUUAUUAAUCCUAAUGGACGUAUUUAUGCUAAGCACGUUUUGCAUAUAUAUCCAUUCAUUUUUCAUCGAUUUCUUAAGAUACAAAACUUACCCCAACUCUAAUGGGGCGACCCAUUUUGUUCGCAUCUGUUUGUUUGGGUCGGCGUGGACAAAAGAGGAUCUCCAACGCGUCGACCCAAAAUCGAGUUCGCUUUGCGUCGACGCGGAACGGACGCCAUGUUCGCCUUCUCAGUGUCUGUCCCAACCAUCGCGGUCAACAUAGUUUAUGAUGGCCUCCAUCCUCCACAAGUCAGCGACGGCUUUUUUUUAAUUUGAACGUGCGGUGGGUUUCACGUGUAACAAAUUGAUUGUAACUUGUGUUUAUUGACUGUUUUAUUGAAUGUAACAAAUUGAUUGUAACUUCGUGUUUAUUGACUGUAACAAAUUGAUUGUAACUUGUGUUUAUUGACUUUGGAGUUUGGGAUGCCUCCGUAGAGCCUGUUUACAAGAGAUGACAGUUGUGCCUGUUUACAAGAGAUGACAGUUGUUGGACAUGCCCGAUCGGUAGCGUGUAACAAAUUGAUUGUAACUUGUAUUUAUUGACUGUUUUAUUGAAUGUAACAAAUUGAUUGUAACUUCGUGUNNNNNNNNNNCGUUUAUUGACUGUGGAGUUUGGGAUGCCUUCGUAGAGGCGCCUGUUUACAAGAGAUGACAGUUGUUGGACAUGCCCGAUCGGUAUUUUGGACACGCCUAAUCUAAACGACGUCCGCUAAUCAUGCCCUUCGGUCCUUCGGUAGAGACACUGUCUCGUUUCGUAACAUUCCCCCUUGUACAAACUUGUACUUUCUCCGUCCGGAAAUACUUGUCUUAGAGAUGAAUGUAUCUAGACUUAUUUUAGUUAUAGAUACAUACAUUAUAUCCAUUUCCAGGAAAAGUAUUUUCGGACGGAGGAAGUACAAAGUUGCUUCUUGUAUCGUUGUAUAUACUUUUAGGAAUACUAGUAGAAUGCUCGUGCGUUGCCACGGGCUUUUCUAAAAUUUAAGAUGCAAUUCACGAAGCUAAAAUAACCAAGAAUAACGCCGUCUCUUUUUUACAAUUAACUAAUAGAAAUCAUACUAUCAAACAUAAUAAUAUGUUAUUGGCAAGUAAACCAAAUGUUAUUGGAACCAAUCAAUAGUUGAAUGGUUAGGAUAAUGAUCAUACCCAUCCAUGUGUGAGUGCAUGUGUGUAUCGGUGGUGUGCGGACAAUGUUAUCCGUAUUUCUUCAAACUUUUAUCAAGACAUACAUCAUUUUUUUUACAUCUUACCCUUUUCUUAUCGCUAUUCUCAUUCCCUAGCCGGUCGAUUUUUCAUUGGGAGAAUGAAUGCACGUUUCCUAAUAUGUAAACAUUCCAACCUUCCACAUAUGGAGACUGCUCAAAGAAAUUAUUUAUUUUUACCACUAUCACUUCAUUAUCUAGUAGAGGAUGCCAUUUUUUAAAGUAUCGUGACAUAAGUUCUCAAGCACAUACAAUGAUAUUAUUUUCAUUAUGAAUAAUGCAUUUGUAUGUCAAGGCAUACAAGUUUGAUUGCAUACUGGUGGAACAUCCAAUGAAUUCUCAAGAUUCAGUUCGAACCAAGUAUGACAUGACAUGAGAAAACCCAACAAUGAUGUGUGCCUGAGUAUCUUUCACCAUGUAGUGAUCCCUAAAAGAAUCAAAUGGAUGUCAUGCUUAUUUUGACAAAAGCUCAUUGGCUGUUUGGCCCACCUAAAAUGGCAACCUUCAAAUACACCGGACGGAUUACGACAAAAUCUUUAUGCAAAAGUUAUCUUAAUGUAUUGAUGAUUAAAGUGCUCACACGUUUGGUUUGGUUUGGAACGUGAUGGCAUACCAACUAAGUGCAUUGUAAUUAGAAAAGUUCAAGGACAUACUACAAGAUGAACUCGGCAUAUAUGGCUAAUUUUUUUAAUAUUGUAUUUUUUUAAUUCUUUUUGAAAAAUAAUGCGCCCAUUUGAAUAUUUACAAAAGUAGGCCUGCCUCGGCCCUGGCGUGACCGACAGGAUGCUGUCGGCGUCGGCGUGGCCGAUAGAAGGCCAGUCGGCCUAGGCCCGGUCGAUAAGUGCCUCUCGGCCACGUGGCGGCCGACUACUGGCCAGGCCACGUCGAUAGCCCAGUCGGCCCUGCCUGUCGGUCUUGGCGUAGCCGAUAAGGCUAUCAGCCUGGGGGAGGCCGACUAGUGGCCAGCCAGCCGAGACAGCCAGCCUUCCCCCUUCCUCCUUUCUUCCUCCUUCCUCUUUCUUCCUUCCCCUUUCCACCUUAUCUCCUUUCUCUCUUUCUCCUCCUACCUUCUCCCCCCACAAAAAAUCUUCCAUUUCCACUUUUUGAACCGUACAUUUGUUGUGUAAGGAGGAGGGCAUCCGAACUAUCCGUCUCACUCGCGAUGGGGUAGUUUGUGGUGCUUGUUUUGAAGCUAUUUUUGGUGGUGGUGGUGGAGGUUGAGGUGGAGGUUGUAGUGGUGGUGGUGGUGGUGUGGGUGAAGUUGGUUGUUUUGGUGGAGUUGGAGGUGGUGGUGUGGGAUUAAUCUCGGUGUUCGUCAAGAGUCGUUCGUCGUUCAUCGUUUCUGUGCACGCUUCAAGGGUAAAAUAUUUUUGUUGUUUAAAUAGUUUUAGGUGCUCCGGUAGAUUAGUAUAAAUUGAGUUGUUUAACUGGUUGUAGGUGCUCCGGUAGAUUAGUAUAAAUUUAGUUGUUUAACUAGUUUUAGGUGCUCCGAUAGAUUAGUAUAAAUUUAGUUUAGUAAAUGAAGUAGUUUAAAUAUUUUUAGGUUCUCCGAUAGAUUUGGAAAAUAUAUUUCGGUUUGUCGUUCUUCUAAUUUUUUUCCUUGUUGAAUAAUAUGUUAGGUCAGUAGAGAUGUCUGAUUUAGUGACGUUAUGUUUGCACUAUGGUCGUGGUACCGUUCAAACAAAUGAGAUGGGAGCUGAUCUUAGUGAAUGUCAGUACACAGAGGUGCAGGUGUCCUCCCCUAAAACAUGGUCUGUUAGUCAGUUGACAGAAUGGCUUGCGCGAUGUUUAGGGUUCAAUACUGAAACAAACACCGUCAGUGUUCAUGCAUUAUGGACCCGGUCCACUGGUAAUAUUUUCUGGUAUUUGAAGCCUAUAGGGCGGGACGACCAGUGGGUGCGCUUGUUACAAUCUUGCGAGCGUAGGGGAUGUCAUCCUGUGGCCUUACUUCUCCCCGUGCUAAAGCCGGUUACUGAACCUGAAGUGGAACGUAGCUCUGAAUAUGGUGAGAGCAGUGUAGGGAUGCAUGAUUCACAGUCAAUUCAUGCGUCCCAUGUUGGGAAUGCUUUUUACGAAGCAGGCCAGAGUAGUCAGGCCGAAGGGGGAGAUGCAGAUGAUUAUCUCAGCGGUGAGGCGGAUGCCGACGAGAUAGAUGGGCACAUGCAAAACGAGAUGCAUGAAGAAGAUAUAGCGGGUGAUAUUUCCGAUGGAUCCGCCGAAUCUGAUGGAGACGAGCACGCACAUGAAGUGCCUAUUCCUGCAUCAUGGAAUCAGGACUUCUCAUCUGCAAUGUUGGUGAAUGACGGUCAUGAUUCUGCCUGGCAGUAUCACCAGAACAACAUUGCGACAGGUGCCCUCUACCCGAACAAACAAGCUCUGAAGGAUGCCAUCCUUAAUUGGGCAAUGUCCACUCAAAGGGUAUUUGUAGCUCAAGUUUCUUGUCCGGAUAAGUUGACAAUGGUUUGUAGAAAUCAGGGUUGUCCCGCAAGGGUGCAUGGAUAUCACCCUAAGUACGACACAAGCUGGGUCAUAAGUGACUUAGUUAGUCAUAAUUGUGUUAUUCCAUGCAUCCCUCAAGAUCAUCCCAACCUUACUUCCACUGUGAUAGCUCGCUUGCUUUACAACGAGAUUGUGGAGUGCAAGGCGAUGGAAGUGAAGGCUAUCCAGAAAAAAGUCUUUGUCAGGUUAAAGUACAACAUAUCAUAUGGCAAGGCUUGGAGGGCUAAGCAGAAGGCACUCGAGACCAUAUUUGGUUCAUAUUUUGAUGCAUAUGACUCUGUUGUUCGGCUCGUGCAGACACUGCAGAACCGGAAUCCUGGCACGUAUGUUGACAUCCAAGAGUUGUACCUGCCAGAGUUCCCAACGGUUAGGGUGUUGCAUCGGAUGUUCUUCUCUUUCGGUGCUUGCAUUGAAGCUUUCAGACAUUGUCGACCGGUGAUAUGUGUUGAUGGCACAUUUCUCACUGGCAAGUACAAGGGUCAGAUCCUCACAGCCAUAGGUCAAGAUGGGCAAAAUCAAGUCGUCCCACUUGCAUUUGCUUUUGUGGAGAGCGAGAACAUCGAUAGUUGGACAUGGUUCUUCAGGCAGUUGAAAAUAGCUGUUGUGCAAGAUAAGCAGAAUGUGUGCAUCCUUCAUGAUAGGCAUGCAGGUAUACUCAACGUGAUCAAGACAUUGUCAAACCCUGCUCCCGGUGAACAAACUCCUUGGCAGGACAUUCAGAGUCGUUGGUGCAUGCGCCAUCUAGGGGCAAAUUUCUUCUCGCAGUUUAGAAAUAAGAACCUCAUGAAUCUAUUCAAGAAACUCUACAAGCAGAACCAACAAUGGAAAUAUGAGCUUAUACGUAAGAGACUAAAUGUUUGCACACAGAGACAUGUUAGGGACAGGAGAGCUGCAAGAGAUGCUGCUGUCAGGGCACAUGUUGAAGAAGUAGCUGCACAAUUAGCAACUGGAGCUGUUACCGUGGAGGAAGAGCCGGUUGGGCUUUGUGACUUGCCAGGAUUUGACCCUCCUGGUACAAGGAGAAGGCUAGCGAGGAAGAUUAAAACCUUCGAUCAGUGGAUAGAGCAUGAGCCAUUGGAGAGGUGGUCUCUCUUGCAUGACACACAUGGAGCCCGGUACGGUGUCAUGACUACCAACCUGGCUGAAACAUAUAAUUUUGUGCUAAGAGGAAACAGAGCUUUGCCACUUACAGCGAUCAUUGAGGGCAUUUUCUAUGGCAUAGUGAAGUAUUUCAGGGAAAGACGUCAAAUUGCUGCGGAGCAUAUGACAAACAAUCCGAACACACGUUAUUGUGAAAGGGUUAUGAAGUACAUGGAUGAAAAGAUGAAGAAAGCCCGGUCACACAGUGUUGUCGCCAUUGGAAAUCUAGAGCGAAGGUUUGAGGUUCGCUUAGCUAACAACAAAUUCGGAUGUGCAAAUGAGAUGAGAACACACGAGGUGAAAAUUGGAAAUGAAUUGUGGCCAACGUGCGAAUGCACAUGCAACAAACCAAAGUUGCUUCACCUACCUUGCUCACAUGUACUUGCUGCUUGCGGGCUCAUAGGUCUUGACACAAUCUCUUUUGUGUCUCCGUAUUUUUUGAAAGAGGCUGUCCUCAAUACCUGGAGAGGUGAGUUGAUGGGUUUCCGAUCAAUGGGUAACUUCAACACUGUUGAGCCUGCUCAAAGGCGAUACAUUCCACAUCCUGCGCAUAUGCGUACAAGUAGAGGGAGGCGGCAGAGUCAGCGCAUCCGGAAUGACAUGGAUGAAUCCGAGGCCGACGGGCGCACCGUGCAAUGCAUUCUAUGUAAUGAAUUUGGGCAUAGGGAUCCUGAUUGUCCCACCUUCGUCACUGGAAGGGGCACUAGGCGUGGACGAGGCAACCGAGGAAGAAGAGGAGGAAGAGGGAGGGCAAGAGGAGGAGGAAGAGUUUAACAUUUAUACUAUCACUAUGUUUUAAUUUUGUACUAUCACUAUGUUUUAAGUUUGUACGAGCACUAUGUUUUAAGUUUGUACUCUCACUACGUUUUAAUUUUGUACUAUGUGUUGCACUACGUUUUGUAUUGUAUAGCUAGUCACUCGUACUUCUAUGGUGGACUGGAGUAUACAUCCGCUGUGGGUUGAAAGGUAAAAAUGUUUUUAUUUUAAACUUUAAUCAUUGUAUUAAAUAUGCAUUGUAAGUGACAUAAAUUUUAUGAUUGGUGGAUAUGCAGACUCAAAUGGGCCGGGCUUUUAGCGUUCGCACGUCUAGUUGAGGCCACUGAGACUUCGCGGCACCUCAGCAUUGACUCUUCUUUGCUCACUUGCUUAGUGGACCGAUGGAGGCCUGAGACCCACACUUUCCACUUCAGAUGGGGUGAGAUGGCUCCUACUCUGGAAGAUGUCUCAAUGUUGCUCGGACUUUCGUUGGUGGGAAAUGCGAUAGGACCAUUGGAGGACCCACCAGAUUGGCAACAAACUUUGGCAGCACGUUUCUUCAAUAUAUAUGAUGGGGCUCCAAUACUGGUGACAGAGGCGCACGGACCUAAGUAUGAUUGGUUACAACAUUUCAGGGUUAGUUCCUACCUCGCAUAUCUAUCAAAGGUAAAUGUUUCAAGUUGCAAUAUUUCCAGGUUAUUCACAAGUCCCUUUGUCCUUACAUGAUUGCAGAUCGAGAGAUUUCCAGGUUAUUCACAAGUCCCUUUGAGUGCUAUACAGAUUACUGGUAGCCUGGAGGCGUACCUAUUGUGGCUUCUCGGGAAGGUGAUGUUCACAGAGAACCAUGUCACUACUUUGAGUGCGCGUUACAUCCCCAUUGCACUGGAAAUCGCGACUGCUGAGUCAGCUGAACAGAUCACACCGAGGAGUUGGGGAUCUGCGGUAUUAGCUGCUACCGUGCAACGGUUGUCAGCUUUCCACGGCCAAGUCGGCCAUUCUUGGUUGCCCGCUGUUUUUACAACUGUGGUCCUGGGAGAGGUUCUCUAUUGGACGACCAAACAUAGAUGUGGACCACAGUUAUCAUGUGGGCAACAUGCUUGAUGGUGAUGACAUCGACUUGCCAACUUUCGGCCUGUGUUGGACGCGUCGCAAGGUAUGUCCCCUGGUAUAAUGUUAUCCACCUUCUUAGUUUACACUAUUGUUGAAACUAACUUAUGUCUUGCGCAGAGACGGUAUGCUAGUGAACAAACUAGGCGAGCCUACACUGCACUAAAUGAGCAGUUUGAUACGUACACGGGAGUUAUUUUGCAACCGUACACGGAAGCAGCCAGAAUUUCUAGAUAUCCCGAUGGUAUUUCUGUGCUAUGCACGAGAGAUCGGGGUUACUGGAUGACGAAAUCGAAGAUUAUCUUCGAUGUCUUUGUUGAGGAGAUGGCGCAGUCUUCAUACUGACGUGAUGAACUUUGAUCGACAAUUGUCAUCCGCACCUCUUAUGGUACCUCGGUCUCAGAUUCAACCAUGGCUCAAGAGGCUCGAGCAGAGGAUAAGAGAUAUCUAUAAAGCUAUCACGUGCACGCGCACUUCGGAUGUUGUGCAUCACCAGCCAUAGCCUACACCAGUGCCGCGUCCCUCUGUGCAUCGACAUCAGCCACGUCCACGUCUACAAGGAGUGGAACCGACGCCACAUCCACCCCCACCUGACGAGCCUGGCAGUUCAGCGUGGCAUCAGCCACAACACCACGCUUCGUCAUCGAGCUUCAUGUUUCAGCCAACUCCGCAACAUCACAAUCCUACUCCUGGUUUCAUGUUUCAUCCACAUCCAACAGGUAUGGUCGCUCCUGCAUAUCAUGAUGUGUCGGCGUCCGGAUCCGGCUUAGGGAGUGAACCAGAUGAGCCACAAUCGCAGCAAAACAUGUGGUUGGACAUGUUUUCGACUCCUCCACCCUGGCCCACACAGGAUACACAGUAUGACGAGGGUGGAUCCGAGAUUCCUCCUCGUAACAUUAGGCCCCCCCACAUGUGGGGAUGGAGUACACCCCCCACACCCCCAGAGCGCCAACCGAGACGUCGUGAGUGAAGCAAACUCUUUGCCCUGCUAUGUAUCACUUCAGACUUAUGUCUAUUUUAUUUAAGAAACUUAUGUGUAUUUUAUGUAUGAGACUUAUGUGUAUUUUAUCUAUGAGACUUAUGUGUAUUUUAUCNNNNNNNNNNAUAUUCCUAUCUAUUUCUAUGCUGAGUUGGUUCAUCGUGGAUAACACAUAUACUACCAAUAACUUGAGAUUACAAACAAAGUAAGAUUCCGGAGAUACAUAAAAUAAGAUACAUGAAAUAAGAUACAUAAAAUAAGAUACAUGAAAUAAGAUACAUGAAAUGAGAUACAUAAAACAAGAACUACAUAAAGUCGUCGUCAUCCUUCGAUGAUGCAGAGCUCUGGCCCUUCGACGAAGCGGUACUCUUGGCACUCGUUGAUGCUGCCCUCUUGUCCUUGCUACUCGGCAUGAAGAUAUCGUGUUCGUCCUCGCUAUCGUCAAUCCAUAAAAAGGGAUGUUUUACUCCACCUCCACCGCGUAUGUGCUGGCCUGUCUUCUUCCACCUUUCAUUCAACCGCAGAAGUUCCUUCCGAAUCUCCUCAUAUGUCCUUGCAGGCCACCCCUUCCUAGCUAAUGCAUGAGCAACCUCAUUCAGUAGCGUGUCACUACUGAUGAGUUCGUCCCAUGAAACUAUUCUAUUGUCUAUCUUGAAAUUGCUAGCCAAGCGUAGAAGACACUCCGACAUACCACUGUGAAAACUAUGAUCGAAAGGAUAAUGAGACAUUUUGAGCACACUCCUUACCAACCUUGCUGUGGAGAGGGUUUUAUAGGUGCCGAAGAGCGGGAAAUAAAUGGCGGGAAAGCGAGGCGGGAACAAAAUGGCGGGAAAGCAAGGCGGGAACAAAAUGGUGGGAAAGCAAGGCGGGAACAAAAAUGCUUAGUUGGUUCUUCGUGGAUAACACAUAUACUACCAAUAACUUGAGAUUACAGACAAACUAAGAUAGACCUUGCCGGAAUUAAAAUACAACUUGCUAAAAUUAAGAUACAACGUGCUGACACAACUUGCUGGAAUUAAGAUACAACUUGCUGAAAUUAUAAUAAAUCUACUGAGUCCAGCGUGGAUAUUUCCCUUUUCCAUCACCGGCUUCUUCUGCUGCUUUGGCCGCACGCGCCCUUUCUCUCUUUCUCUCCCUCUCAGCUUCACGGGCCUGUUCCCGCUGUCUGUAAACCUCCUCCAACCGAAGUUUCUCUUCUUGGUUCUUCCUUAUCAUCUCAUCAAUAAAAGCCCUCUGCUCCACACAAUAAUCUUCCCACUCUUUCUUCUGCUCUGCUUUCUCCUCUGCUUUAGCCUUCGCGCGGCGCUCUUCCAAGUCCAAGCUAGCCCAUGCACGGCGACCUCUUUCACGAAUCUCGGUCACCGCCCAGUCCGGCAUUUCCGUGUCAAUCCAACGAUAGUACAUGCAGAGAGGAGGAGGAGACUACAAUAUAUAUAUAUAUAUAUAUAUAUANNNNNNNNNNNNNNNNNNNNNNNNNNNNNNNNNNNNNNNNNNNNNNNNNNNNNNNNNNNNNNNNNNNNNNNNNNNNNNNNNNNNNNNNNNNNNNNNNNNNGAUUUCUCGCACUCGAGUCCACUAACACCACAACAAUACUCCAUCGUGGAAUCAUUCCGUCUCCAUACGGAAAUGCCGUCCAUGACACUCACGCUUAUCUUGACAAUUUUAUGAGUAGCCAUUUAAGUUAUCUAUGAACAACAUAUGUCUCCAAGUAGUCCAUAUCCGCGGACGCGGCUAUUCGAAUAGAUCAUAACCCUGCAGGGGUGUACUUCGUCACACACGCUCUCGCCACUUAUCGCCAUGUGCACGUCAUGCACCUCGGCAACCUUCAAGCGGAAGCCCAGCGAGGGAGUCGGCCACGACCGUUAACCCCAUUAGUACCUAGUCCAGGUCUAUCGCCUAUCUGAGGGUAACCUGCACGGAAGUCCGGACGAGGUUUCCGCCACGGCCCCAAACGAUGUGCACAGGGUUCCCAAGCCCACCAUCCGGGUGCCACUUGGUACACCGUGCCACUGUCUACCGCAUCACAGCCCACCUCUCAGGUCAGCACCAUGCACGGCCUCCAGCAUGACUAUAAACACCAGAAACUACUUGCAACUCCUGGACCGAGUACUAGGCAAUUAAUAAGUCGAGCGGGGUCAUAUUUCAGGGCCAACAUGUGGUAGUAUCUCGACUUGGAUUACAUACACAGAACUAAGUUCCUAAGGACGGUUCCAAUGAAACAAUCCGCCAUGUACUCCUACACAGCCUUUCACCGGUACCUUUACAAAAUCAGGUUUAACACACAACCUUUGCUUACCGAACACAUUCUCACAAUUCUGUUCAUCUCCCAGAUGACAGACCAUACACAACUCUAAGCAUAGCAUGCAUAGCAGGAUAAGGCACAUCAUGGCUCAAGCAACUACCAGGUAUGCUAGGUUGCAAGGUUCAGCUAUUUACUGUGACAAGGAUAGGUCAUGCAAAGGAAGUGGGUUCAACUAACGUGGCAAAAGCAUUUGAAGCAUUUGAUCCUAAUGCAAUAAGUAAGUGCAGGAGCGAGAACAUGGGAUUUAUCGGGAUGAUCAAAAUGGUUGCUUGCCUUGUUGCUCAGAGGAGUGACAAUAUCCGUCAGACGGAUAUUCGGUGGAAUCCGGGGGAGCGGAGCCUACCGAAAGGAAUGACAACAAUCCAUAUCAAACAUAUGCAAUCAAGAUGAUGCAUGAGCAUGGCAUGAGGAUGCAAGGUGGUAUACUAUUAUAGCUAACAUGUAUUAGGUUUGAAGUUGAUUUGAAUCAAAUUCAAAUAUCACUUCAAACGAGGUAUUCUCGGAUACCAUUUUAAUUGAUUCGACCUGAUGCUCAGAUCAACUUGCUUUUAACAUGCAUGGUAUGACAUGUUAGGUUGCUGGUUUGUACUUUGGACAGUGUUUGAUCAUAUCAUGUGAAGUGAAAUUUAAAUAUUUUCCAAAUUCCAUCUCCAAAGUAUUUAUAAGAAUUAACUUAUUCAUUAAUCUACAUGUUUGGGUUCAGUAACAUUUCCAAACAUGUUUGCAAAUGACAUAUUCAGAUCCCUUGAAUUUUUCUGAUACUUUUUCAUAUAUAAGUUAUUUUCAUUGGAGUUACAAAUUAAUUUCUAUGAUUUUUAGAAGUUUUGGCAUUUUUCUGGAAUUCUUUUAAAUCAGAAAUUCACUUAUUGCGUGAUGACUGCAUCAUCAUGGCGUCAGCAGGUCAACUGACCUGAUCAGGUCAAACCUGACAGGGGGGGGGGGACCCACUGGUCAGCAUCUCAUGUGCUAAUCCCGCGCUGACCAACCCCUAAGUGGGUUUGACUUGGCCUUGGGACCACUGUCAGUGAGCGAUUAGGGUUUAAACUACUGGGUUAAGCUGGCCACGUCGUUCCCCACCGGAGCCUGGCCGGCGGCGACCAGAUCCGCGGCAGAACUUCGCCGGAGACACGCUAUAUCGUGCUGUGGUGCUCGGAAAAGGAUGCCGAGAGCACUGGGAUGAUCCCGAGGCUCGACCUCAUCCAGCGCUGGCCUCAGGGAGGGAUAUAGGUGGCCGGAGCAAGCCGGCGACAAGCUAGGGCGGCUGUCGGAGUAUGGGUUCGAUGGUCCAGUGGGUAGAGGGCACAUAUCCGAGGGGAAGGAGAGGGGAAAUGAUCGCAGGCUCACGGUGGAGGUGAAGCUAGGCUCAGACUGGUCAGGGAGGGGUUGUAGCUGGUGUUUCACCGUCGAUUUGCCGGCGACCGAAGGUUGAAGACGAUGGCGUUGGGGACUUUGCAGAGCUCGGGGAGGCUUCGGCCUUUGUAGAGAGAAACAACUCGUCGAGGCGGAGCUACUGGACUACUCGGGAGGGAGGUCCUGUGGCUAGAGGGUCGGCGGCUCGAGCUCGAGCUCUUGGCAAUGGCGGCAGAAGGAGGGAGGAGAGAUCCCGAGAGGGGGGGGGGACUGAAGUAGGGGAACGGAUAGAGACGGGCUCGGGGUGGAUAUCCCCGCUGUCCCGCUGUCCUGGGGGCACCGGAGGUCGCCACGGCGAAGCAUAAGGUGGAGGGGGCCGCCGUGGUCGAUCUCCCCUCUGCCAGAAGGCAGAGGAAGAAGACGACCCUGCCCCUGGUGGGCUGGGCCUCCNNNNNNNNNNNNNNNNNNNNNNNNNNNNNNNNNNNNNNNNNNNNNNNNNNNNNNNNNNNNNNNNNNNNNNNNNNNNNNNNNNNNNNNNNNNNNNNNNNNNACGGAAGUGUUUAAAACUGUCUGAGUACAGACAGGUGAAACUAGAAGGCACAUGGCCUCACUAUACUACAGACCCAACCUAGGGCCAGAUCGUAGCUGGGACACCAGCUACUCGUCGUCGUCGAUGUCUAUGAAGAACAAUCCAUUAGGGUCAUUAGCAACCUCUACAACAUUUAUUAUGCAAACAUGAGUACGGAGGUACUCAGCAAGACUUUAGGAUAACUAUCUACNNNNNNNNNNAAUCAUUUCGUCUCCAUACGGAAAUGCCAUCCCCGACACUCACGCUUAUCUUGACAAUUUUGUGAGUAGCCAUUUAAGUUAUCUAUGAACAACAUAUGUCUCCAAGUAGUCCAUGUCCGCGGACGUGGCUAUUCUAAUAGAUCAUAACCCUGCAGGGGUGUACUUCUUCACACACGCUCUCGCCACUUAUCGCCAUGUGCACGUCAUGCACCUCGGCAACCUUCAAGCGGAAGCCCAGCGAGGGAGUCGGCCACGACCGUUAACCACAUUAGUACCUAGUCUAGGUCUAUCGCCUAUCUGAGGGUAACCCGCACGGAAGUCCAGCCAAGGUUUCCGCCACGGCCCCAAACGAUGUGCGCAGGGUUCCCAAGCCCACCAUCCGGGUGCCACUUGGUACACCGUGCCACUGCCUAUCGCAUCACAUCCCACCUCUUAGGUCAGCACCAUGCACGGCCUCCAGCAUGACUAUAAACACCAGAAACNNNNNNNNNNNNNNNNNNNNNNNNNNNNNNNNNNNNNNNNNNNNNNNNNNNNNNNNNNNNNNNNNNNNNNNNNNNNNNNNNNNNNNNNNNNNNNNNNNNNUAGCUCUACUAUUUUUAUAUGUUCCUAGAGAAAAUUUAGUUGAAAAUUGAUAGUAGCAACCUUUGCAGACUGAGUCUGUAAAACCGAGGAUUGUCCUCGUUGCUAUGCAGAAGGCUUAUGUCCUUAAUGCACCACUCGGUGUGCUGCACCUCGAGCGUCGUCUGUGGAUGCUAUGAACAUCCGACAUACACGUUACUGAUGACUACACGAUAGUUCAGUGCAAGAUACUUGAUGGCUUAGAGGCAAGGUGCCGAAAACGUUGUAAAACGUCACAGAACAUGAGUGAUGUUCCGAAGAGAUGAAAUUGUGAUUUCAUGCUUGUGCCCUUAUUAAGAGGUACGAGACCUCCAACCAAGAUUCUUUGUCCACAAAGUAAAGGAGAAAAGCUCAAUCGUUGAGCGUGUGCUCAGAUUGUCUGAGUACGACAAUCGCUUGAAUCAAGUGGGAGUUAAUCUUCCAGAUGAGAUAGUGAUGGUUCUCCAAAGUCACUGCCACCAAGCUAUGAGAGCUUCGUGAUGAACUAUAACAUAUCAAGGAUAGAUACUAUGAUCUUUUGAGUGAUUCGCGAUGUUUGACACUGCGAAAGUAGAAAUCAAGAAGGAGCAUCAAUAGUUGAUGGUUAGUAAAACCACUAAGUUUCAAGAAAGGCAAGGGCUAGGAGGGAUACUUCGUGAAACGGCAAAACAGUUGCUGCACUAAUGAAGAGACCCAAGAUUAAACCCAAGCCCGAGACUAAGUGCUUCUGUAAUAAGGGGAACAGUCACUGAGGCGGAGCAACUCUAGAUACUUGGUGGAUAAGAAGGCUGGAAAAAGUCGAGAGAAGUAUAUAUGUGAUAUACAUAAUGUUGAUGUGUACUUUACUAGUACUCCUAGUAGCACGAGGGUAUUGGAUACCGGUUCGGUUGCUAAGUGAUUAGUAACGCGAAAUGAAAGCUACGGCAUAAACGAAGACUAGCUAAAGGCGAGGUGACGAUACGUGUUGGAAGUAUUUCCAAGGUUGAUAUAAUCAAACGUCGCACGCUCCCUCUACCAUCGGGAUUGGUGUUGAACCUAAAUAAUUGUUAUUUGGUGUUUGCGUUAAGCGUGAACAUGAUUGGAUCGUGUUUAUUGCAAUACGAUUAUUCAUUUAAAGAGAAUAAUGGUUACUCUAUUUGCUUAAAUAAUCACCUUCAAUGGUUCAUUGAAUCUCGAUUGUAGUGUUACACAUUGGUGCCAAAAGAUACGAGUUAAUAAUGAUAGUGCCACUUACUUGUGGCACUGCCGCUUGAGUCAUGUUAGUAUAAAUUGCAUGAAGAGGCUCCAUGCUGAUGGAUCUUUGUACUCACCUGAUUUCGAAUCACUAGUGACAUGCAAAUCAUACCACAUGAGCAAGGCCUUGUUUUCAUUGAAGAUGAAAUAAGAUAGUAACUUGUUGGAAGUGAUACAUUUUGAUGUAUGCAGUCCAAUGGGUGCUGAGGCACGCAGUGGAUAUCAUUAUGUUCUUACUUCACUGACGAUUUGAGUAGAUGCUAGAGUAUUUACUUAAUGAAUCACGAGUCUGAAAUAUUGAAAAGUUCAAUUCUGUUUCAGAGUGAAGUUCGUCGUAACAAGAGGAUAAACUGUCUACGAUAUGAUCAUAGAAAUGAAUAUCUGAGUUACGAGUUUUGGUACGCAGUUAAGACAAUGUGGAAGUUGUUUCGCAGUUCAUGCCACCUGGAACAUCAUAGUGUGAUGAUGUGUCUGAACAUCAUAGCCACGCACUAUUUGGUAUGAUGCAUACUAUGAUGUCUCUUAUCGAAUUACCACUGUCGUUUAUGGGUUAUGCAUUAGAGACAACCGCACUCACUUUAAAUAGGGCACCGCGUAUUUCCGUUGAGAUGACACAGUAUAGACUGAGGUUUAGAGAAAUCUAAAUUGUCGUUUCUUGAAAGUUUGGGGUUUCGACACUUAUGUGAAAAAGUUUCAGUCUGAUAAGCUCGAACCCAAAGCGGAUAAAAUGCAUCUUCAUAGGAUAUCCAAAACAGUUGGGUACAUCUCCUAUCUCAGAUCCGAAAGCAAAGUGUUUGUUUAUAGAAACGGAUCCUUUCUCGAGGAAAGGUUUCUCUCGAAAGAAUUGAGUGGGAGGGUAGUAGAACUUGAUAAGGUUAUUGAACCAUCACUUCAACCAGUGUGUAGCAGGGCGCAGGAAGUUGUUCCUGUGGCGCCUACACCAAUUGAAGUGGAAGCUGAUGAUGGUGAUCAUCAAGCAUCGGAUCAAGUUACUACAAGCCUCGUAGGUCGACAAGGUCGCGUACUGCUGCAGAGUAGUACGGUAACCCUGUCCUGGAGGUCAUGUUGUUGAGCAACAGUGAACCUACGAGUUAUGGAGAAAGCGAUGGUGGACCCAGAUUCCGACAAAUGGCUGGAAGCCGUGAAAUCCGAGAGAGGAUCCAUGUGUGAAAACAAAGUGUAGACUUUGGUAGAACUACUUGAUGGUCAUGGGACUAUUGGGUAAAAUGGAUCUUUAAAAGAAGACAGACGAUGAUGGUGAUAAGUCACUAUUAAGAAAAGCUCGACUUAUCGCAAAGAUGUUUUCGAUGAGAUCAAACAGUUGACUAUGAUGAGACUUUCUCACUCGUAGCGAUGCUAAAGGUCUGUUAGAAUUAUGUUAGUUGUUGUUGCAUUAUUUAUGAAAUAUUGCACAUAGGAUGUCAAAACAUUGUUUUCUCGACGGUUUCCUUGAGCAAACAUUGUAUGUGAUACAACCAGAAGGUUUUGUCGAUCCUAAAAGAUAUUAGCAAGUAUGCAAGCUCCAGUGAUCCUUCAAAAAGACUGGUGCAAGCAUCUCGGAGUUGGAAUAUAUAUACUUUGAUGAGAUGAUCAAAGAUUUUGGGAUUGUACAAGGUUUAUGAGAAACUUGUAUUUCCAAAGAAGUGAGUGGGAGAACUAUAGAAUUUCUGAUAGGUAUAUGUGGUUGACAUAUUGUGGAUCAGAAGUAAUAUAGAAUUUCUGUAAAGCAUACAAGGUUGUUUGAGAGAAGUUUUCAAAGGAGUACCUGGAUUACGCUACUUGAACGUUGAGCGUCAUAGAUCUAUGGAGAUAGAUCGAAAGCGCUUAAUAGAAGUUUCAACAAAAUGCAUGCCUUGACAAGUUUUUGAAAGAGUUCAAAAUAGACCAGCAAAGAAGGAGUUCUUGGUUGCGUUGUGAGGUGUGAAUUUGAGUAAGACUCAAAACCCGAUCACGGCAGAAUAAAGAGAAUAGACGAAGGUCGUCUUCUAUGCCUUAGCCGUAAAAUCUAAAGUAUGCCAUGCUGUGUACCGCACCUGAAGUGUGCCUUGACUCAAAGUAUGUUGAGAGGUACAGAGACUGAUCCGUGAUUGAAUCACUAGCAGCGGUCGAAAUUUAUCCUUAGUAACUAAUGGACUAAGGAAUUUUUCUCGAUUAUGGAGGUGGUUAAAGAGUUUGUCGUAAAGGGUUACGUCGAUGCAAGCUUUGACACUAAUCCGAUUAACUAUGAGUAGUGAAACGGAUUCAUAUAGUAGAGUAGAUAUUUGAAGCAUUUCCGAAUAGCACGUAGUAGCAGCAUCUAUAAGAUGACAUAAAGAUUUGUAAAGAACGCACGGAUCUGAAAGUUUCAGAACCGUUGACUAAAACCUCUCUCACGAGCAAGACGUGAUCAGACCCCAUAACUAUAUGGGUGUUGGAUUCGUUGGAAUCACAUGGUGAUGUGAACUAGAUUAUUGACUCUAGUGCAAGUGGGAGACUGUUGGAAAUAUGCCCUAGAGGCAAUAAUAAAUUAGUUAUUAUUAUAUUUCUUAGUUCAUGAUAAUCGUUUAUUAUCCAUGCUAUAAUUGUAUUGAUUGGAAACACAAUACUUGUGUGGAUACAUAGACAAAACACUGUCCCUAGUAAGCCUCUAGUUGACUAGCUCGUUGAUCAAAGAUGGUCAAGGUUUCCUGGCCAUAGGUAUCUCGGGGCCCACUCGGUAAUACAACAUCACACACAAGCCUUGCAAGCAAUGUAACUUAGUGUAAGUUGCGGGAUAUUGUAUUACGGAACGAGUAAAGAGACUUGCCGGUAAACGAGAUUGAAAUAGGUAUACGGAUACUGACGAUCGAAUCUCGGGCAAGUAACAUACCAAAGGACAAAGGGAAUGACAUACGGGAUUAUACGAAUCCUUGGCACUGAGGUUCAAACGAUAAGAUCUUCGUAGAAUAUGUAGGAUCCAAUAUGGGCAUCCAGGUCCCGCUAUUGGAUAUUGGCCGAGGAGUCUCUCGGGUCAUGUCUACAUAGUUCUCGAACCCGCAGGGUCUGCACACUUAAGGUUCGACGUUGUUUUAUGUGUAUUUGAGUUAUAUGGUUGGUUACCGAAUGUUGUUCGGAGUCCCGGAUGAGAUCACGGACGUCACGAGGGUUUCCGGAAUGGUCCAGAAACGAAGAUUGAUAUAUAGGAUGACCUCAUUUGAUUACCGGAAGGUUUUCGGAGUUACCGGGAAUGUACCGGGAAUGACGAAUGGGUUCCGGGAGUUCACCGGAAGGGGGCAACCCACUCCGGGGAAGCCCAUAGGCAUUUGGGGGGUCACACCAGCCCUUAGUGGGCUGGUGGGACAGCCCACCAAUCCCCUAUGCGCCAAGAGAGAAAAAAUCAAAGGAAAGGAAAAAAAAAGGAAGAAGUGGGAAAGGGGAAGGACUCCCUCCCACCAAACCAAGUAGGACUCGGUUUGGGGGGGGGGAGAGUCCUCCCCCCUGGCUCGGCCGACCCCUUGGGGAUCCCUUGGACCCCAACGCAAGGUCCCCCUCCCUCCUCCUAUAUAUAUGGGGCUUUUAGGGCAGAUUUGAGACGACUUUCUCACGGCUGCCCGACCACAUACCUCCAUAGUUUUUCCUCUAGAUCGCGUUUCUGCGGAGCUCGGGCGGAGCCCUGCUGAGACGAGAUCAUCACCAACCUCCGGAGCGCCGUCACGCUGCCGGAGAACUCUUCUACCUCUCCGUCUCUCUUGCUGGAUCAAGAAGGCCGAGAUCAUCGUCGAGCUGUACGUGUGCUGAACGCGGAGGUGCCGUCCGUUCGGUACUAGAUCGUGGGACUGAUCGCGGGAUUGUUCGCGGGGCGGAUCGAGGGACGUGAGGACGUUCCACUACAUCAACCGCGUUCUCUAACGCUUCUGCUGUACGAUCUACAAAGGGUACGUAGAUCACUCAUCCCCUCUCGUAGAUGGACAUCACCAUGAUAGGUCUUCGUGCGCGUAGGAAAAUUUUUGUUUCCCAUGCGACGUUCCCCAACAGUUGCAACUGUUUUCGCCCGGUUUUCCGUUAAUCAAUGGGGAAAUUUUCUUCUUCUUUAUUAAUGAGAUGAGGCAAAGCUCUUUCCUCUAUUUCAAAAAAUAAUAAUUGUUUUAAUUAAGAAAUGCAUGUGGAACAUGAUAGCAUGUGAUUUUGAUAUCUAUAUCAACAAAUUGAUUCUUUAUACGCUUCUCCCCUCAUGCUUCUUCCUUCAUAUGCAAUUGUCGUGUCUCUUCAACCACUCUCUCCUCGUAAGAAGAUAAAGCAAUAUUUUUUUCAUUGCCAUUUCUUUUCCUUCACCUUUUUCUUGCCACACUAUAAGCCCUCUUUUCAAGAUCUUGUAUUACGAUUUAAAAUAUUGUGUUGCCCUCUUUUAUGGUAGUCACUUAGUUGAAAGGAAACAUACGCAAUACUGGUCACGACUAACUAAAAGGAAACAUGAACUCCAUGAAAGACGGUAUGCGGUUGCAUAUGGGAUAGGGGUAUGGUUGUACGCUGCCUCGAGCGGAAGUGUGGUGAGGCACGCUGGUGGUCGGGGGAGAUGAGGCGACAGCGUCGGGUGGUUUUAAUUUGAGAGAGUUUUGGAGGAGAGGACUCCAGGUGAGGGGUGAAGGUGGAGGACGUGCCGAACUACUUUCUUUUAUGGAAGACCUGUAAAAUUUUUUUAUGUCAAGUGGGGUUUCUUCUGGCGACUUUUUUACCCGCGACCAAGGGAGUUGGGGGAUCGAAGGAGGUGGGGGAGCUAACGAGGUUGAUGUUGGGGAACGUCGCAUGGGAAACAAAAAAUUCCUACGAUCACCAAGAUCAAUCUAUGAAGACUAACAUCUACGAGAGAGGAGUGCAUCUACAUACACUUGUAGAUCGCUAAGCGGAAGCGUAGAUAACGCGGUUGAUGUAGUCGAACGUCUUUACGAUCCAAAUCGCAAUCCGUCCCGUGAUCCGAUCCCGACCUAGCCCCGAAAGGACGACACCUCCGCGUUCAGCACACGUACGGAUCGAUGACGUCUUCGUCUUCUUGAUCCAGCAAGACGUGCGAAGUAGUAGAUGAGUUCCGGCAGCAUGACGUCAUGGUGACGUUUGUGGUGAAGAAUAAUCUCCGCGGGGCUUCGCCAACAUAACGGAAACUAUGACGAAGGAAGAACUAGAGGGGCGAGGUUGCCCGCACAAAGCUUGGGGAAAUAUUGAUGUGUCCUGGGUGCUAGCCUUGCCCCUCUGUUUAUAUGUUAAGUCAUGGGGUCGUUUCUUAAAGAAAGAGUCUCCUCAAAGUCGGUUUGGCACGCAAGGCAAGAGUCCUCCUGGGACUCCAGGACAAGACGCCAAGUCCUUGGUGUCUUGCCCCAAACGCGAGGGUCCGUGGUGUCUAGCCCCUCGCUUUAGCAAAACUCCUUUUGCACCUUCCUAAAACCUCGUGGGCUUUACCCUUUGCCCAAAUAAAGUGUUCUUGUACCUGAACAUUUCGGGAAACAAAUCAAAUAACUACUUUGAUCAGCAUAUAAACUAAUUAUGGGCUGCCAAUUCCCUGAGAAGACUGUAUACUGUAAAAGGUAGCGAGAAAUCAAGCAUCAACGACCUCUGAAUAAAAUCAAUUGUUAAGACUCAUUAAAAAGACCAAUUUAUAUAAUAAGGUUACUUGGCUUAUAUAGAUGGCCUCCUAAGUCAGUUAGAUGCAUCACCAUGGUGAUUAAGAAAAAUCAUACUCACAAUUGACAUCCAUCUUACUGUAUUUCAGUGAUAAAAGGAAUGACCAAUUUAUAGAAAUCAGAAAACAGAAGAACUCCAAACUAAAUUUUCUAAAACACUUGUAAAAAAAGUAUACACAAAUAUGUUCUUUUAAUACGUGCUUUUUGUAAAAGUAUAUCCGCGUAGGAUGUGCUAUGUUGAAAUCAGACCCCAGAAUUAGCUAAAUAUUCCCGUAAUGUGUAAUAUUGUCAAGGAGAUGCUAAAUCCACCGGAAACCUAUCAAUUAGAAAAACUCCAUGGUAAUUGCGGCCUAGGGCAUGCGAUCAAUAUUUUCUCAACUGACAGAAGGUCCUGCCCAGUCACUCACAUGCUCCUAUCCUAGGUAGUGAAAAUAGGAAGGUCCUGCCCAGUCAGUGAGAUGCUCCGAUCCUAGGUAGUGAAAAUAAACGAACUUCUUGAUAUUUAAAAUACUAGAGAAAAUCAGGAUCUCAGCGAGGAAUAAAGAUGUAUGCCAUCCUAGGUGGUGUCUCUGUUCAUGAGCCAGUAUGAUGCACAAUAGCAACAUCGAACAAAAGCCUUAGUGGGCAAUAGAAAGUGGCAGGUUGCAUUCCUAUCUCCUCUUCCAGAGAAAGUACGAUUUUUGGAAACAAAUGUAUUAAGAAAGAGCUGUUUAAUAUACAUGCAAGUUCACAGCAGCAACAUUCAAAGCGUGAUGAACAGAGACACCACAAUGCAAGAUCAUAGCUAUCUUACCAAAGAUUCCACAUAUCUCCCUUUGUUCCAGUCAAUGAAAGGUUGUUCAAAAACCUGGAAUAAAAAACACAACUAAAUAAAACGUUGUUGUAAUUAACAAAUAAUUUAGUAUAUAGCUUGCUGGUACUGCUAUUCUGAAGGUGAAUAAUUUGCAUUCCAAAAUUUCUGCCAUUUUUUAUUUUUUUUUAGAAAAGGAGGAUGAUCUCCGGCCUCUGCAGGAAGAUGCAUGCAGCCAUUUUAUUAAUUAUUCAUAAAGAUCUUACAGAGCAAUACAUCAAUAUAUCUGAAGCCGCCCUCUUGACAAUUUUUGUCGCUACUCCUAUCCAAUGAUGAAGGGGUGUAGAAAGUGUGAGCCACAUACCCAGACCUCUCACCUAGCCUAACAUCUAAGCGGAGGCCCCGACCGAGCCACAUACCGGGUCAGGGGCACAAACCGGUCCAACGCACCCUCAUAGGUCGUCGCCGCCGCUUAUCAUCAAUCCAUCUUCAGAAGAGUUACUGACGCAUCGACCUUGCAAGGCCUGCCGUCGAUGCCCCCACGGCGCCAGACAGCGCCUCCUCCCUACGCGCGCUCAUCAUCACGCAUCUGUCGCCGAGACUUUGCUACGCCUCGCCGCCGAGACUCCACGACGUCGAUGGGUCACAAGGAACGCCGCUCCAUCGUAGAUGCCGACCAUGGAACAGGGAAGCAAAUUUUACUGAAGAUAUGAACCCAUUUGAACAAACUUCAGUACUGAAAAUUAUUAUAAGCAGAUUUACGACAUGCAUGUCCAUAUACUCCCUCAGUUUCUAUAUAUAAGUCUUUCUAGAGAUUUUAAUAGUAAACUACAUACAAAUGUAUAUAGACCAUCAGUGAAAUAUUUUAAAAAACUUAUAUUUAAAAACAGAGAAAGUACAACCUAGCAAGCAUGCACCAUCCAGCGGCACGGCUGUGAGGACAGCUGGCGAUACCUAUAUCAUGAAAGCAAAAUAUGUGGCUAAAUACUCAUAUUUCCAUAUGCCACAGUAGUGAUAAUUCUAUCGUUCAGCAGUAAACCUUCCAUGUGUAAAGGAGUAACUGUGAAUAAAUCUACAACAAUUUGCUUUUGCAGUUCUCCUAAGCAAUCUUCUGCGAGCUCUUAUGUAAGCAUGGAAAAAGGGCCCAUAAUCCAGCUUGAAACCAUUGUGUUAAAACAAAGCUUGUACGAGAAUGAAUAUCACACAUGUAAUGUGAAUCAUUUCUAAAACAGAGCACGGCUCACAUAGUAAAAUAACACGAAAGCAUGCACAUAUACUCCCUCCGUUCCUAAAUAUAAGUCUUUUUAAGAUUUCAUUAAAGGACUACAUACGGAACAACAUGAGAAUCUACAUUUUAAAAUAUGUCUAUAUACAUCCGUACAUAGUCUUCUAGUGAAAUCUCUAAAAAGACUUAUAUUUAGAAACAGAGGGAGUAGUUCGCUAGAAGGGCAACAGAGCAAAGUUAACAUCAGAACAAAGGCCGCAUACACAUCAAACCAAUUAUGUACAAAUGUAAUCCUAAAGUUCUUGGCAUACACAAUGGAAGUCCCACAAAUUCAUCAUUCAUAUAAUUCUAGAUGUUCUAGAUAUGAGUAGUGCAAACCUAUUUCUGAAUAAAUAGCUAAACAUACCAUAGAAAUUCAGGGAUCAGCAUACAGUUCAGGCUCCGUUUGGAAUAAGUGUAAACUUAUACACACGGAUUUAAUCUAUAAGUGUAUAUUACCGGCCGUAGUGCAAUUUAUGCCCGGAAUAAAAACGACCGUCCCAGGUCUGUAGCAAUUAUACAUCGGUAUUAGAACCGAACCGACAAUCCAAGCGCGCCCUGAUUACGCGGAACUCGUCAAAACUCACGGUUUUGGCCUAUUCCGGCCAAUUUGUAUACAAUUACUCACUGAUUUUGGGUCCCGCUGUGAUCUGAGCGUUUCGAAAACCCCGGGGUCCAGUUACAGGGAACUCGUCAAAACUUGCAGUUUUGGUCUAUUAUGGCCAGUUUUGUAUGCAAUCAAUCACUGAUUUGGGUCCCGCUGUGAUCCGAACGUUUCGGGAACCUCGUGGUCCAAUUACGGGGAACUCGUCAAAACUCGCAGUUUUGGCCUAUUCUGGCCAGUUUUGUAUGCUAUUACUCAUCGAUUUUGGGUCCCGUUGUGUUCCGAACGUUUCAGGAACCCCGGGGUCCGGUUAUGGGGAAUUCGUCAAAACUCGCAGCGGAAAGUAGCGAGUAUUUUAUCGUCCUGGUGCUCGUCUUCACAGCCGUGGCCCAUCAUCUCCGUCGCGGUGGGAUGAUCCAUCGUGAAGGUGGCCUUGGCAACGGCGUCCUGUCGUCCGAGGAUCUCUCUGGCGAGGAGCAGAAGGUUGCCGCGAUUCACCUCACCAGAGCCUGCUCUUGCUUGAUGGCUGGGAACGGAUGGGCCGGGGAACGCACGAGAUGAGCAUGACCAAAUGAUGUCCUUCUGCUGCUAGGAGAAGCUGGAAGAGGGCGCUGGCCGUUGUUGUCGCUGGGUCGCCGUCGCCGCGCGUCUCCCCAAGGGCUAGUCGAGGCAGAGGGCCACGUUGAUGUAUCGAUCCGCCGCCGCUGCUCCCGUCCGCUGCCGCUGGCCUCCAUGCUCAUGCUCGUCUCUUCUGUAUGCUAUAUCUUUCUUCUGUGCACCCCCUCACCUCGGCCAUGUUGAAGGGAAACGAUGGCCAGCGCCGGCAGAUGAGAUGAGACGGUCCCGGACGGGAUGGGACUAGGAGUGCUGGAUUUGGUGAAUCGCACUUUUAGCGGCAGAGAGGGGCAUGACAAAAAAUAGUUUGAAGCAUCUAUAUUGAUUUUUUCUCUCCAAUGAAAGCAACCAUCAGGGUGCCUCAUCAAAGAAUAAUAUAUAUAUAUAAAGACUCUAAUACAUAUGAAACUCUACUUUCCACUUUUAACUUUUUCAGCCUUUUUAAACCGGACCACGCCAUUUCCUUAUCCGAACCUACUUUUUUCUGACAUCCGAUCCUACAAGUCAUACGAAGCAUCAUCCUAAGGCUAUGCAUUGUACAUGCAGACGGCGGUUGUGUGGAGCGGUUUUGCGAGAAUAGUUAAUAAUGAGAUCAUCAUUUUAGGAAAUGAUGCAGAGCUGGGUAGUGACAUUGAUCCGCAAGAAGCUCAAAAGGCACUUGAAAUAGCCGAAGCUAACUUGAGUAAAGCUGAGGGUAUGAAAGAUUUGGUUGAAGCGAAGCUCGCUCUCACACGAGCUAGGAUACGAAUCGAGGCUGUCAGUGAAGCGGUGACAUAGUUUUGAUGGGAUCGUUCUCGAACACGAGAGACAGAUCUAGAGGAGAACAUGUCAACCGAAAUAUCUCACCUUCACCGCUUAAAAUCAAUAAAAAGGCUGUAACGACAGCCCAGAAGAAACGCUAGAUACAGUGGCGGAAACAAGCCUAGGGCAAAUCGGGCUAUAGCCCUAGUUGUAGUGACAAUAGUGUGUGUAAUAUCUUCUUAUGAACUACAAAAAUUUCUAAAGUACACCACUCAAUCUAAUUUAGCCCUAGGCAUAACCCCAUGCUAAUUCCGCCUCUGGCUAGAUACACCCGAGGCAUACCCAGCCAAGCCCCCAAAUAAAAAAGCUAUCACCUUCCUAUUGGCCGGUUUUUGUCUGCCAAAAAAACUCAAAAAAUCAGAAAAAAGAAACCUAGCCAGGUUUAGUAUAGUUAGAAUGUUGCACCCUAAAUAGAUUAUUUUUUAAAUAAGUAAUAAUUAAUAAUUACAUCAUAUUCAGAUUCUACGCAUUUUUCUAGUCAAAUUUCAUAUAUAAUAUGUUAAAAAUGAAGUUAGGGUUCAAAAGUUAUGAUUAUUUUUUAAAAUAUCUAUUGCAGAAGGACUAUGGAUUGUCUAACGUAAAUAUUAGGGUGUUAUAUGUAAAAAUAGAAAAAACGAUUCGCUCGGACUGCAGGUUUAUUAUUGUAAAAGUCAAGGGGAUUUUUGUAAAAAUAAAAAAUGAUUCGUUUUGAUUUAAAUACGUACUACAGGUUGAUUACCUAAAACUGUAGGUUUUUUUUUAAAAAUGUCCAACGAAAUACAGGCAGAAACACUCCAUCGUGAGUGACGCUAUGUGUCCGCCGGCGGCUGUUAUAAAAUGAUGAUGGAGAUGUGAUCUACCUAUGUAAUGGGUCAUCUUUGCAACAAGUGCAUUGUUACGGUGUUUUUUAAAGCCGAGCUUUUGUUACAGAUUUUUUAACAGUGGUUUUAUUGCAGAAUUUUUUUGCAACAACAAUCUUGUUGCAGAAUCAUUUUUAUGAGUUUUUUACAACAAAUGUUUUGUUGUUGACAUUUUUCGUAACAAUGGUCUUGUUGCAGAAUUAUUUAUGUGAGUUUUUUUAUGGUGCAACAUCGUCCUUUUGUGGAAAGAAUUGCAACAGCCCUUUGUGGCAAAAAUAAAUAUCUUCUAUUUGCUUCACCGACAACGCCUUCGUCCGCUAUAGUGAGCUUAAGUUAUGGGUAAUUUGACGGCCGCGUGAGCGGUGGAUGCGAUGAAAGAUUGGUCGGUUGAAUGGAAACUUUUUCCUAAAUAGUAGGGUAGAAUAGGUAUAGGUAUAGGUGUAGAUAGAUAUAGAUAUAUAAUAGUCAAUUUUUUUGUAAAUAUGAGUAGUCAGAUUUAGAUUAAGCUCAUGCCAACGAGUUCGAUCUCUCGGAUGACAAAACGCGCCAGGGCUAGAUAGCUGGGUGAAAAACUUGAGCGUUAAUAGUUUUUCAAUUUGACAUGUUAUAGCAUCGCAGUUGGCACAUAAACGAAAUCAUACUACCGGAAUGUGUUUGAGCUUAACGAAACCAGUUACAGGGUUAAAAUUAGCGUUAGUUAGGACUUCUUUUUUAGGGGUAAAUGCUUUGCUUUAUUGACCAAUAAUACGAAGUUCAGGAAUUACAUGUAAAUCGAAGGGUUGUAGGAGCCACAAAUGGCGUCCUUCCCCCAAAUGCAAAGCAUGCUUAGCUAGGAGAUGAGCUUCCCUAUUAGAAACUCUCCCUUCAUGAACAAAAGAAAUAUGUUGAAAAUCUGAAUUUCCAGCCUUAACUUCCUCCACUAUUGGGCAUGUGAUUCCUUGUGUACCCGAGAUGAUCUCCAUUACCGCUGUGAGACAGUCUGAGGAAACGACGAUAUUCUGAAGGAGAAGGUCCCUUGCUAGAGCUUGUGCUUCCCGACAUGCCAAGGUUUCCAGAAUGUGAGGAUGAGUGAGCCCAUGAAACACCAUGGCAGAUGCACCCAGGUACUUCCCGUGGUCAUCCCGGCAAACUGCACUAACCGUGCCAAUAGGAGGGGUUUUGUAGACUGCCCCAUCAACGUUGAUCUUUGCAAACCCCAACGGUGGUGGUCUCCAACCUGUUGAUGUUGCCUGGGUCACUCUAGCAUGCGAUAACGGCCGUACCGGUCUUGUCUCUCUCAGCUCAUCAAUGAAUUUGGUAACGAAAGAAAACGUUGCUACUGGACUCUGGUGCUCUCCCUCAUGAAUGAGCUUUAUUCGUGCAUACCAGAUUGCCCACAAGGUGACUGUCAUGCGAGUCAGUUCUUCCUGGGAGACAGAAGCAAACAUACUGAAUAACCAGGAGCGAGCAGACGGUUCCGCAGUAGCUCACAUAUGUUCAACCAGUUGUUGAUCAUGUAGCGCCCAUACGCACCGAUCCAUAGUGCAUGUAAUCAACGAAUGGAACCACGAGUCUGCGGCGCCACAUAUUGCACAAGAGGGUGUCGAGGUCAUAUGCCGGUGGUGGCGCACAUCUGUUGUAGGGAGAGAAGAGCAUGCUAGUCUCCACAGAAAUACCUUGAUCUUCGACGGCACUUGGAUAUGCCAGAGUUUAUCCCAGCACUUUCUUUCUCUGGUAUUAUCGGCAGGGCCUCCGCGCCCCUCUAACCAUGCUUCCCUUCUUAACUUCGUCGUGAUGAGCAUACGGUAACACGAUCUGACAGUAAAUUGUCCCUUCUUUUCUUGUGACCAUGCCCAGUAGUCCGAGCUUUGUCUGGUAGGGGGGGUAUGUUUAAGAUCACACCUGAAUCAAUUGGAAGGAAGGUUGCAUUGACCACAUCAUGUUUCCACUUAGCAGCCGUGUUAUCAAUUAACUCCGACACCAUCAUAGGUCUGUGAGUUGUAAGGCAUGUUAUUGGGCGCAUAGAAGCCUCCUUAGGUAACCAAUUCUGACUCCAGAUGUUAGUGUCUGUGUCAUCUCCAAUUCUUCUAAUCAGUCCAACCUUGAGGGCCUCUUUCCCUUCCAUGAUUGCCCGCCAAAUCAGCGAAGGAUUGUUGCCCAGCUCCGCUUCCAAAAAUCCAGAGGAGGGAAAAUAUCGUGCUUUAAGGAUCCUAGCACUGAUUGUUUCCGGAGAUUUAAGAAGCCGCCAUGCUUGUCUUGCCAGGAGGGCGAUGUUGAAGAGUUCUAUAUCCCUAAACCCCAGUCCACCUUCAUACUUGGGGCGGGUCAUUACUUCCCAGGAUGCCCAACAUGUUUUUCUUUCUCCAUUCUUACUCCCCCACCAGAACUUACGGAUCACCGAAUUGAUAUGAAGACAUAACCCCCGCGGCAGUUUGAAACAUGCCAUAGAAAAGACCGGGAUUGCUUGCGCAAUAGAUUUAAUUAGCACCUCCUUCCCUCGAGAUGAUAUCAUUUUCUCCAUCCAACCUUUGACCUUGCUCCAGACUCUGUCCUUUAGAUACUUGAAAGCGCCAUUCUUGCUGCUUCCCACAUCAGUGGGCAUGCCCAGAUACUUUUCAUUCAAGCUUUCAUUUUGCACGUUGAGGAUAGUUUUAAUGGACUCUUUUAGCAUUGUUGCACAUCCUCUGCUGAAGAAAACCGAUGAUUUUGCUUGAUUAACUUUCUGUCCUGAUGCCCUACAAUAAGUUUCCAACAGUGCAGAUAUGGCAGUAGCGCCCUCACUACUUGACUUGAAAAACAACACGCAAUCAUCGACAAAAAGUAGGUGUCUGGCCAAAGGGGCCGUUGGCUCCACUUUAAUUCCAUAGGAAGGCGAUGACUCGUUCUGAUUUUUUAGGAGGCAUGAAAGGCCCUCUGCUGCUAUCAAGAAAAGGUAGGGUGACAAAGGAUCUCCCUGUCGAAUUCCCCUUGUAGGUUUGAAUUGUUCCAACUUUUUUCCAUUGAAUAAUACGGAGAACUGUACUGAACUCACCAUCUUUAAGAUUGUAGCAAUCCAAUCUGGAGCAAACCCCAGACCUAGCAUCAUAGCUUUCAUGUAGUCCCAUUCAAGGCGAUCAUAGGCUUUCAUCAUGUCUAGUUUCAAAGCACAAAACCCAUUCUGUUUUGACUUAUUUCGUUUCAUGAAAUGAAGGCAUUCGUAUGCCGAGAUGAUGUUGUCUGUGAUCAGCCUGCCUCCUACAAACGAAGACUGCUCCUCUGAUAUGAUUUCCGGCAGGAUGUUUUUUAAUCUAUUAGCUAGGACUUUGGAGGCUAUUUUAUAAAUGACAUUACAUAGGCUGAUAGGAAGGAACUGAGCAAGCAAGGUAGGAUUGUUUACCUUUGGUAGAAGAACCAAGAUAGUCUCAUUUAGGCCAUGUAUCUCUUCCUCACCCUUCAGUAUUUUCAGUAUGAUGUUCGUGAUCUCAUCACCAUAGACACCCCAAUAUCGCUGAAAAAAAUGGACGGGAAACCCAUCCGCUCCCGGAGCCUUCGUAGGGGCCAUCUGAAACAAGGCUGAUUUUACUUCUUCUUUGGUAUACUCGGAAGUCAGGUGUUGGUUCAUUGCAUCAGUCACACGUCUCGGGACUGUACUAGUGACUGCUUCCAUAUCAGUUGUACCCUCGGACGUGUAAAGGUGGUGAUAGAAAUCAGUUGCCAUGUGCUCCAAUUCCGUUUCAUCGUCGACCACAGAACCAUCCUCCCUUACCAGUGAUUUAAUUCUAUUUUUGCGUCGCCGUUUACUGGCUCGCAAAUGAAAGAAUUUGGUGUUCUUGUCUCCUGCCGCAAGCCAGGUAAUGCGGGAUCGUUGUCGCCACAUGAUUUCCUCUCGAUGGUAUAGUUCUGCUAGUCGGUCCUUUAUUUUGAUCUCACGCUGAGUAGGACCAGUGCGGGCCGGAUCCUCCUGAAGUAUUGCCAGGUCCACAUUCAGUCGCUUAAUCUCAGAGCGAACGUUGCCGAAGGUGGUUUUGUCCCACCGGUGAAGUCCUUUAGACAACGAAUCAAGCUUAGCUUUAAGUCCUCGAACUGUUGUGGCCCCCGGACCUUGCUAGUGUUGCUGUAUCUCCUCCUGGAACCCAUCAUGCGCCUCCCACAUCACCUCAUAUCUGAAUUGUUUGCUGUAAGGCUGGGUGCCGGGCGAGUCACCAUCCAACUGGAGCAGGAUUGGAUUGUGAUCUGAAGUGGCUGCAACUCUAUGUGAUAGGUUUGCCUGCGGGAAUAGCGUGCUCCAUUCCCCAUCCGCCAGAGCUCUAUCUAGACGGACACGGGUAUAUGUUCCUCCUGCCACUCUUCUUUCAAAAGUCCAUUUUGUUCCCGAGAAACCAAGAUCAUUCAGACCACAAACAUCAACUGCAUCCCUAAAACCAUUCACCUGUGUCAAACUACGAUAGCUCGACCCUUCGUAGUCAUCCAAGCGCAAAACCUCAUUGAAAUCGCCAAUGCAUAACCAUGGGCGUGUGUUGGCAGAAGACAAGGAUCUCAUAAGGUCCCAAGUUAUAUUUCUAUUCUCAACUCGCGCUUCACCAUAGACCACUGUUAACCUCCAUUGGGGAGUCCCUGGCACUUUUAUUAGAGAAUCAAUGUGAUAGUUUGAGUAACCAAAAGUCUCAAGGUUUAUUGUAUUGUUCCAAAACAUACCAAUACCUCCACUCCUUCCACAACUACUAACAACAAAAGAACUGUCAAACCCUAGUGAACUCGCUAGAUUCUCAACUCGGCCUCCAGGGAGUUGAGUCUCAAUCACACAGAGCACUAGUGGAGAAAGCUGCCUCGCUAGGUUGCGAAGCUCACGAACUGUCUCAGGUGUACUAGCCCCUCGAUAGUUCCAACAAAGUAUAUUCAUUGAGCCCGGCGGCGCUCCUCUAAGGAGCCCGCCAACUCGCUCUGUGAGUCUGUCUUCUUCAGGGGAGACGAUCCCGCUCGAUGCUUCUUCCUGUCCCGAGGCGCCACAUAACCAUGCGGGGGUGGUGGAACCCUCUCAGAUGUAAUCGCAUCCUCCACCCCAGCUCCAUCAUCGGCAGAUGAUGUAGUAGCCAGAUCCAGCUUCUUCUUUGCUGACGAAACAACCAUUAGUGGUUGUGCUUCCCCUCCAUCCUCCUGUCCAUCCGGACUCGUUUUCAUUUGAAUCUCAUCUGUGUCCUCUAUGUUCUCAUUAUCACUCAGAUCAGCCUCAUGUGAGGAGCGUUUCCUAGCUGUAGGAGUUGCUCUAGCGUUCCCCGCCGAUAUCCUUCCCCGUCCCCGGUUCCGAGGUGGAUUUGAAUAACUAGCUUGGCUAUACUGGUAGGAAGGUAUAGCUCUCCUUUUAGCUAACAUCCAUUGGCCAUAUUCAAUUUCGUCAGGGCCAUGAACACCAUCGCCACACUCUUCCAAGCUAUGCCCCAUAAUUCCACAUACCUCACAAAAGAAACCAAUCUUCUCAUACUUUACUGGCAGCAACAUGAUCUCCUCCCCACUGAUUUUUAACGGAGUGAACCGAACCAGGGAUUCACCAACCUUUAUCUUAGCUCGUACCCUGACAUAGUUCCCUUCAAAAACCCUAGCAGGAUUUAACUCUACGCUCUUGACCUGUCCGAUCCUCCUUGCUAACUAAUCGAGCACUCCUUCCCUGCGAUAUAGCUCCGGGGUGUCGUGGAUUUGGGCCCAUACGUGUGUCCGGUCAAGAGCCACCGCAUGCGGUUUACCCUUCCCGUCGUAUUCCUCCAAUACCACAAUGAGUCCCCUGAAGAUCCAAGGACCUUGAUGCAUAACCCUGUUCCAAUCCCCGACACAGAAGACUUGCACAAUGAAGAGAUUAUCAUCCGCUUCACGGAUCGAUGGUUCCUGAGCCAGCCGCGAGAUGAACUUCAUCGUAGUUUUGAACGGUUCAGCACUGAAAGUCUUGUUCGUGUUCACUUUAGCUACUGCUAACCAGCGAUUUUCUUGCGUGAAUUGGGCGAUCUCCUCCUCCCCCACCAUUACUACAUCUAACUCUGACUCCUUCAGUUUCAUGUUCUUCAUCGCGGACUCUAGAUCGAUCGGCGCCUUCCCCCUCUUGCUCCCCGAAGAAGAUCCUCCCGGGGUUUUAGUCGAGGCCGACGCCAUGCUCGCGAAGCCCAGCCCCCGAUCCGAGGGAAACCCUGAUCAGUACUGGUAUUUGCGGAAGGAAACCCUCAACGACGGCGAGGCGCCGCCGGAGUAGAAAACCCUAAACCCUAGCCGUCGCUAGGGUUAGUCUAUAUCUGACAACCAUUGCAUUAGUUAGGACCUAACAUGCGCCAGCGUGACACGGCAGUAAAGCACAGGACCGGGCCGGCAAAAUCCAUGGCCCUGUGUGAAAGCCUAAAAUGAGGCCCUAUCUCAUAAAGAUUGAACUACUAAACAAUUCUAAUAUAUAUGACGUAAUGUUCUACAUAACUUUUCUAUUGCGUUUCUUGAACCUGGAACCAGACUAUUUUUUUUAAUAUAUGCUUCAGUAUAUGGUCAACAUGUUUUCAAAUACAUACAAACAUUUUUUUAAUGUAUGUUGAACAUUUCUUCUACCUACAGUGAACUUUUUUAGUGCACGAUAAGCUUUUAUUUACAUACGGUGAAUACUUUUCUUAAUAUAUCAAACUUCCUGUAAUAUAUGUUGAAGAUAUUUUAAAUGCAAAUUAAAAAAAUUGUAAUAUAUGUUGAACAAUUUUUUAAUAUAUGAUGAAAAUUUUAUAUAAUGCAUAGUAAACUUUUUGUAAUAUAUGGUGAACAUUUUCUUAAUAUACAAUGAACAUUUUAUAAUACACGGUAAUAUUGUUUUAAAUACGCGCUGAACAUUUUUCAUACACAAACUAAACAUAUUUUAUUAAAUUAUGAACCUUUCAUAAAUACUCUCUUCGUCCGGAAAUACUUGUCACAAGAGUGGAUGUAUUUAGAUAUAUUUUAAUUCUAGAUACAUCCAUUUUUAUCCAUUUGUGGACAAGUAAUUCCGGACGGAGGGAGUAUAUAUUUUAUUUGGAAUAGGUUACAAAUAUUUCAAAUCCUGAAAAAGAGUUCAAACAACCAUUUUUUAGAACAAAACCGAUUGAAAUAUGAAGAAACAAAUAACAAAAAUAGAGCACUGCAACAUUGUGUCCAUAUAUACAUGCAUGAUCCAUCCAUGCACGAGACGAAUCGUAGAGGUUACCAGCACGAGCGUGCACAUCUGACCACUGACGUAUGCAGCAUCAUAUGCAGCGUUCCAGUGAGCAACAAUACGUAUGCAGUAACCACAUUUACAUGACACUACAUUUUUUUAGGGGUAAAUGCUUUGUUUUAUUGAUCAAUAGUACGGGAUACAGGGAUUACAUGAGUAUUAAAAGGUUGUAGGAGCCACACAUGGCGUCCUUCCCCCAAAUGCAAAGCAUGCUUAGCUAGAUAAUGAGCUUCCAUAUUAGAGGCUCUACCUUCGUGUACAAAGGAUAUACUCUGAAAGUCCAAAUUUCGUUCUUUAACCUCCUUGACAAUUGGGCCAGUAAUACCACAAGUGCCAGAGUUGAUCUCAGUUACCGUUGAGAGGCAGUCCGACGCCACAACGAGGCUGUGGAGAAGUAGGUCCCUGGCUAGGGAUUGGGCUUCAUGACAUGCAGUGUUUCCAAAAUAUGAGGGUCAGUUAACCCAUGAAAGACCACGGUUGAUGCUCCCAAAUACAUCCCCUGAUCAUCUCGACAUACCGCAUUCACAGCGCCAAUGGGAGGGGCCUUGCAGAUCGCCCCAUCAACGUUAACCUUGGCAUAUCCAGCAGGAGGCGGUAUCCAUCUUUUUGCAGCAACCUGCGCCGGCCUCACAUGUGAUAAUGAGCGUUGUGGCUUGGUCACUUCCAGCUCGGCGAUGUAUUUGUUGACAAAAGAAUAGGUUGCCAGUGGGCUUUGAUGUUCUCCUUCAUGGAUUAGUUUCCUCCGGGCAAACCAAAUCGCCCACAAUGUGACCGUCAUGCUAACCAGUUCCCCUUCUGCAAUCGUAGAUAUCAUGCUGAAGUGCCAUGAGCGUGCGUCUGCUUCCGCAGUGACUAGCAUAUGUUCGACCAGCUGCGGGUCAUGAAGUGCCCAGACACAGCGUGGCAUUGUACAGUUUAAUAGGGAGUGGAACCAUGAGUCCUCGGCGCCACAUAUUGCACAAGAUGGGGACGACGCCAUAUGUCGGUGGUGCCGAAUAUCCGCUGUGGGAAGAGAGGUUUGUGUCAGUCUCCACAGGAAGACCCUGAUCUUCGACGGCACCGGGAUAUGCCACAGCUUGUCCCAACAUUUCUUCUCUCUGCUACUGUCAGCAGGCCCCCCGCGACCCUCUAGCCAUGCUUCCCGUCUAAGUUUCGUCGUGAUAAGCAUGCGAUAGCAGGAUCUGACAGUGAAGCCCCCUUCCUUUCCUGUGACCAUGCCCAGAAGUCCUCACUCUGUCGAGUAGGUAGGGGUAUGUUAAGAAUCACAUUGCCAUCAAUUGGUAAGAAGGUUGUAUUAACCAGGUCCUGUCGCCAUCUUGCGGAGGUGCUGUCGAUGAGUUCUGACACCAUAGUCGGUCGAUGAGGAGUAAGGCAGGCUAUUGGUCGCAUAGAUGCCUCCUUGGGGAGCCAAUUCUGGUUCGAGAUAUGAGUGCUGGUGCCAUCACCAAUUCUCCUAAUAAGACCAACUUUGAGGACAUCUUUUCCUUCAAUUAUUGCCCGCCAAAUCUGUGAAGGGUUGUUGCCAAGUUCAGCAUCCAAAAACUGAGCUGAGGGGAAAUAGCGUGCUUUGAGGAUCCUUGCACUCAGUGUUUCCGGAGCUUGAAGUAUGCGCUAAGCUUGUCUUGCGAGGAGGGCGAGAUUAAACAGUUUGAUAUCUCGAAACCCCAACCCGCCUUCAUAUUUGGGGCGUGUCAUCACUUCCCAAGAGACCCAACUUGUCCUUCUUUCACCAUUUUUUCUGCCCCACCAGAAUUUACGAAUCACCGAAUUGAUAUGGAGACAGAGUCCUCGCGGCAAUUUGAAGCACGCCAUUGAAAAUACCGGGAUUGCUUGUGCUACUGAUUUUAUGAGUACCUCCUUUCCUCCAGAUGAUAGCAUCGUCUCCAACCAACCCUUAACUUUGCUCCAAACUCUGUCCUUCAGAUACUUGAAGGCUCCAUUCUUGCUGUUCCCCACAUCUGUGGGCAUGCCCAAGUAUUUCUCAUUCAAACUUUUGUUCUGCACAUUCAGGAUAGUCUUGAUAGACUCUUUCACCUCGGGUGCAUAGCCUCUGCUAAAGAAAACCGACGAUUUGGCUUGCUUAAUUUUCUGUCCCGAGGCCAUACAGUAGGUCUCCAACAAAGAACAUACCAGAGUAGCUCCCUCACUACUAGCCUUGAAAAACAGCAGGCUAUCAUCGGCAAAAAGUAAGUGGCUGACCGGAGGGGCCGUUGGUGCCACUUUAAUUCCCCUGGUAGGCGAUGACUCAUUCUGACUUUUAAGGAGGCACGAAAGGCCCUCUGCUGCCAACAAGAAAAGAUAGGGUGAUAACGGAUCUCCCUGUCGAAUUCCUCUUGUAGGUGUGAAUUGUUCAAGCUUCUUCCCGUUAAAUAAGAUAGAAAACUGAACCGAGCUCACCAUCCUCAUGAUUGUAUCAAUCCAAGCCGGUGAAAACCCCAAACCUGUCAUCAUGGCUUUCGGGUAGUCCCAUUCGAGGCGAUCAUAAGCUUUCAUCAUGUCCAGUUUUAAGGCACAAAAACCAUUCUGUUUUGACUUGUUCCGCUUCAUAAAGUGAAGGCACUCAUAGGCAGACAUAAUGUUGUCCGGCAUAAGCAUGCCCCCCUACAAAUGCAGACUGCUCUUCUGAUAUAAUAUCUGGAAGGAUAGUUUUCAAUCUAUUAGCCAGAACUUUGGAAGCAAUCUUGUAAAUGACAUUACAUAGGCUUAUUGGUCGGAACUGAGCAAGGAGAGUGGGAUUAGUUACCUUAGGUAUUAAAACCAAGAUAGUCUCAUUCAAGUCCUUUACCUCUUCUUCCCCUUUCAGAAUUUUUAAGAUGAUGGUAGUGAUAUCAUUUCCACACACACCCUAAUACCGUUGAAAGAAGUGGCGGGAAAACCAUCAGCCCCCGGAGCUUUAGUAGGUGCCAUUUGGAAAAGGGCUGACUUCACUUCCUCUUUGGUAUAUGCAGAGUUCAGUGUAAGAUUCAUUUCAUCGGUAACUUUCCGAGGAACCGUACUAGUCACUGCCUCCAUAUUCGUUGUACCUUCGGAUGUGUAGAGGUGGUGAUAGAAAUCAGUUGCCAUUUGUUCCAGUUCCACUUCAUCAUCCACUAUAGUGCCAUCUUCCCUUACAAGCUUUUUAUUUUAUUCUUCCGUCUCCGUUUCCUCGCUCGUAAGUGGAAGAAUUUUGUGUUCUUGUCUCCUGCAGCAAGCCAUGUAAUGUGUGAUCUCUGACGCCACAUUAUCUCCUCCCUUUGAUAUAAUUCCGCUAAACGGUCCUUGAUUUUAAUCUCAAUGCGGGUAGGUUCCAUUCAACUAGGGUCAGCCUGAAGGUGAGCAAGCUCUCCAUUUAACCGUUUAAUCUGUGUACGGACAUUGCCAAAAGUGAUUCUUCCAUCGUCCUAAUCCAUUUGACAGAGCAUCAACUUUCACCCUUAGGCCUCAACUGUGGUAGUACCUGGGCCCUGCCAAUGUUGUUGUACCACCUCUUGGAAACCAUCAUGGGACUCCCACAUCAAUUCAUACCUGAAUUGUUUUUGACGAGAUUGUAGGUCUCGCGGUUCACCUUCGGUCUGAAGCAGGAUGGGGUUAUGAUCCGAAGUGGCUGCCACUUUAUGCAGCAGCAUCGCGUGUGGGAAGAUGCUACACCAUUCCCCAUCCGCAAGUGCUCUGUCUAAUCGAACACGAGUGUAUGUCCCUCCUGCAACUCUUCUCUCAAAGGUCUAGUUUGGUCCUGAGAAGCCGAGAUCAUUUAGUCCACAGACAUCGAUGGCAUCACGGAAUCCAUUUACCCGAGUCAUACUGCGGUGGCUUGAUCCCACGUAUUCAUCCAGUCGUAAGACCUCGUUGAAGUCUCCAAUGCAUAACCAUGGACGAUUACUCGCACAGGCUAGGGAUCGCAGAAGGUCCCACGUUAUACCUCUUUCCUCAACUCGUGCUUCCCCAUAAAAUACUGUCAACCUCCAUUCGGGAACCCCUCGCAUGGUAACUAGAGCAUCAAUGUGAUAGUUCGAGUAACCAAAAGUAUCGAUCUUUAUUGAAUUAUUCCAAAAAAUACCAAUACCACCACUCCUGCCAGAACUACUAACUGCAAAGGAACAAUCAUAGUCUAGUGAACUUGCUAAGCUCUCUACUCGCCCCCCAGGAAGCUGAGUUUCCACAAUGCACACCACUAGUGGAGUAUACUGCCUCGCUAGAUUGCGAAGCUCGCGAACUGUCUCAGGUCUACCAGCCCCUCGACAGUUCCAGCAAAGCACACUCAUUGAGCCCGGCGGCGCUCCUCGAAGGAGCCCGCCAACUUGCUAUGUGAGUUUGUCUUUUUAAGGGGAGACAUCCCCGCUCGAUGCUUCUUCCUGUCCCUUGGCGCCACACACUCCUGUGGUGGUGGCGGAACCUGCUCGGUCCGCGAGGUCUCUGGCAUGGCAAAAGGAUUCUGCUCACCUCCCCCAGUUCUCGCCUGCUCCGUUGCUAUAGGUGUUGUGUUUGACAAGUCGAGUCUUUUCUUUGCUGCAGGGUUUGCAUAUGGUGGAUGUGCUCCCUCUCCAUCCUCCUGCUCCUUCGGCAUACAUUUCAUGGGGCUCUCGGCUGUGUCAUCCACGUUUUCAUUGUCGCUCAAACCUGCCUUCUGAGACGAACGUUUCUUGGUUGUGUGAGUUGGUCUAGUAGCCCCAGCCGAUCUUCCUCCCCUUCCACGACGAUUGCGGGGAGGGUUUGAGUGGCUAGUCUGGCUGUACUAAUUUGAAGGUAGUGUUCUCCUUUUAGCUAUCAUCCAUUGCCCAUAUUCGACCUCAUCAGGGCCAUGGACACCGUCUCCACACUCUUCCAGAUUGUGUCCCAUAACACCACAUACCUCACAGAAGAAACCGAUUUUCUCAUACUUAACUAGCAGCAACUGAAUUUCCUCCCCUCUGAUUUUUAGCGGGGUGAACCGAACUAGUGGUUCGUCAACUCUAAUCUUGACUCGAACCCUCACAUAGUUUCCUUCAAAAACCCUACAGGGUUCAUCUCCACGCUCUUUACCUGCCCAAUCCUCCGUGCUAGUUGGUCGAGCACCACUUCACUGCGAUGAAACUCUGGGGUAUCAUGUAUUUGAGCCCAUACCGGUAUCCGAUCCAGAGCCACCGCCUACGGUUUGCCCUUGCCAUCGUACUCCUCGAUAACCACCAUUAGACCCCUGAAGAUCCAAGGACCUUGGUGCAUAACCCUGUUCCAGUCUCCAACACAGAAGAGCUGAAUAAUGAAGAGAUUAUCGUCCGCCUCGCGGAUCGCAGGUUCAUACGCCAGCCGCCAUAUGAACUUCAUUGUUGUUUUUGAAGGAUUCAACACUAUAAGCUUUGGUUGUGUUCACCUUAGCUACUGUUAGACAACGCGUUUCCUCUGCAAACUUGGAGAUCUCAUCGUCUCCCACCAUCACUGCAUCCAACUCGGAUUCCUUCAGUUUCAUGUUCUUCAUCGUCGUCUCUAAUCGAUCGGCGAUUUCCCCUUCCCGCCCCCGAAGACGAGCCCCAUGGGGCGUCAGUCGUUGAUGAAGAAGCCAUGGUCGUCGGAUCUAACCCCCCGAUCGCCCCACGAGCGUGCCGUAGGAGGAAGCCUGGAUCCGCGGUCGCGUCGCGUAAGAGAGAGCCUCAACGGCGGCAGCUUGCCACCGGAGUAGAUCAACCCUAAACCCUAGCCGCCGCCAAGGUUAGGUCAUGUGAUGGUCCGCUUUUCUAUUAGUGAUGGGGACGGAGAGAGCAGCGUUUACAUGACACUGCAUGAUGGAGCUUUUUCUAGUAGGCUUAUGUAAGAAAUUUGGGCCCCCAAAUUUAUGGGCCCUGUGCAGACUGCACAGUUGGUACCACUAUGGGCCCGACACUGAUAAAGCACCGUCAUCAUCUUCAUGCUAAGGGCUCCUUUAAUUCAAAAGAAUUUUAUAAUAAAAUUUAUAGGGUAAGUUUUUUUUUUCUAUAUUUGUCGUUUGAUUCACAUAUUUGAAUCCUAUAGGAUUUUUUUCCCGUCAUAUCAAAUUUACAACAUUUCAUUGGAAAUAUAGCAUCCAGUCCAAUUUUUUUCUAAUUCUUUUGUUUUUUCGGUGGCAUCAAACACUUUAUGUUAAUCCUAUAGGAAUCAAAUGUACAUGCCACUCAAACCGUGCAUUUUUUCUAUUCCUUCGUUUUAAAAAAUCCCGCAAAUCAAAAAGGGCCUAAAAGUUUUUGACAACAACGUUUCCAUCAGUUGUCACCUGGUACACGUACAACUAGCGGCCGAUUUCACUGUUUUGACCCUUUUAACGUAGUUUAACCUGAUCUGACCUUGUUCAUGAAAAAAAAUUGGAUCUGACCUUUUCCUACCGCCACUCCCUGUGGCGGUAGGGUUCGGGUCAUUGGAGAUGACAAAGUCGGGACAACAGGGUCAUCCACACUUGUUAUUGUGAAUCCCAGAUAUGUUCAGUGGUGUUCCAGUGUGAUCCCAGCUACUGGGCUAUGACCCCGUCCUCUGAAACUUUGAAAUAUACUUCCUCCGUUCUUAAAUAUAAGAUCUUUUAGCAAAUUCACUACAAACUACAUACGGAGCAAAAUGAAUGAAUAUAUGCUUUAAAUAUGUCUAUAUACAUAUCUCUCCCUAAUAAUAAAGCACGGAUCGCUUAUGUCGUCCGUUAUGGCUAUUUUGCAUAAAAGCCCCUAUAUUUUUUCAUAUUCAACCUGCAGUCCUUGUGUAAGUCAAGCCGAACCGUUAUUUUACGAUUUAAAAAAAAACCCUGAUGUUUCAGGUAAUCAACCCACCAUCCUUAUUUAAUCAGCCGAAAUAUUUUUUUCGUUUUAACAAAAAAACCUGACUUUUCAGUUAAUCAAUUCAGAUUUUACCUAAAACAAAAUUAUCCAUAUCUUUUAAACCAUAACUUCGAUUUUAACAUGUUAUAUAUGAAACAUCGUAGAGAGGAAAGAAACAUCGUUGACGAUGAUACGAAUUGCAAUAAACAUCCAUUAAAUUAAAAUCAAAUUGAGAGGAAAGAAAACAUCGUUAACCACACAUGCACACCUUUGAAAAACCUCAUGGGGAGAAACAACAUAUUUCUCAUCUUAUUCCGAGUGACUGUACAUUCAAACGCGUUUUCGUUGUGUGAGCACUGAGGCCAUCUUCGACAACACAAAUGUGAUGCCAUGUGAAAAUAUAUUGCGUUCAUAGCGUGUGUUAUUUUCUCUUCCGCUGCAACGCACAAGGUCUUUUGCUAGUGUAUGUAUAAAAAUCUCUAAAAGGUCUUAUAUUUAAGAACGAAGGGAGCAUUUAGUUUUGCACCCGCAAAUAAAAAGAAAGGAAUACAUCUAGUUUUGCAGUAGAAAAACUUCAUGUGUUGUUGUAAAAAGAGACAAGGAAGGACUAGACCCAAGUGGAUUCCAGAGAAAAAAAAAUCUAUUGAAACCGUGAGGGAAGCGCUUUCUGGGAUUUGUUGUUGGAUGACGUUGGUGGGCCGCUAGGGAAGGGAGGCAAGAUCGUUAAACUGAUGCAGAAACUUUAGCGUGUCGGAGAAAGUUUUAGGGCACGCAAACUGGAGUAGAUACUGUACGUAUGUACGUACCUAAGAAAACGCUAUAAAUCAUCCGGCCGAUCGCACGCUCGCAUCCGCCCUCUUCUUUAUACGUCACUUGCCUCAUGAUCAUCAUCAAAAUUUUUUGCAACUAGCAUGUUGUUGUAAUUUUUCAUCGCAACAACGGCUCUGUUGCAGAAUCUGAAUUCUUAAAUUUAGAUAAUACAACGACGUGACGCUUCUGCAACGUAAUCUCAAUUGCAAAAAAUAAAUCUAUAACAAAACUUUAAUUGCAAAAAAAAUUACAAUAAGAUCUUUGUUGCCAAAAAAUCUACAACAAAACUAUAGUUGCAGAAAAACUGUAACUGGACCAAAGUUGCAAAAGUGGAAAAGUUUCUCUGUCGCUCGAUGCGAGAGAUCUGACGGCUCGCGAGCUAGCGGAUAUUUAAAAAAAUCCGCCGACUGAAGGGUAGCACGCCCCUAAUCUUUCUCCGGUUACCCUUUUCCCCUUUUAGGUCGAUCUGGAUAGAGUUGGGCUUCAGCUCGAAAAAACAAACAAAAAAAGAGGAUAGAGUUGGGCUUCAGCUCAAAAAUAAGAAGAGGAUAGAGUUGGGCUGGAUAUGGGACUGCACUACCAAGUUUAGUCGGAGAGCGGCCUGGCCCGUUCACUCAUGUGAUAUAUAUCCUGUUCGUGUCUCGAAGCGAAACGAAACCAGUCCUCCUGCCAGCCAAACCCUAGUAUCCGCCGCCGCCUCCAAUAAACCAGAUGGCGCUGCGCUCUCUUGUUAGGAAGAUGCCGGCCCUCGGUGCCAGGUCGCCAGCGAUGGGCCGCCCCGUCCACGCUCUCUCGCCGGCGACUGGUUUUCGCUUCAUGUCCCAGGGUGGCACGGUAAGCACUUCUGUUCGAUUUCUCGCCAUCUGAUCCCCGCUGGCUGGUCCGAUUUUGCUCUACUUUUUCUCUCGUUUCAUCUAAUUUACGUACAACUUUUUAGACAAGUCAAGUUAGAUCCGAUCCGAGCUGGUGCGGUUUUGCCCCCUCCCCUCUACUAUCAUCUUUUUAGAGAAAUCAAUCACCCUUAUACUACUUUUUGGUGGAUGUUUGGAUGACGAAAAUCUUUCUGGGCAAUGAUUAUCCAUUCUUAAGUACUCACUUCAUUCCAUAAUGUAGUGCAUAUAAAUAUGGGAUUUUGAAAAAGUCAAACUUAAUCAACUUUGACCAAGUUUGUGUAAAAACAUAUUUACAUCUGGAGUGCCUAACAUAUAUCAUUGGAUUCAUCAUAAGACAUAGUUUCAUACUAUUAUAUCUAUUUAGUAUUAUAGAUAGAUAUAAAUAGUUUUGUAUAUAAAUUUGGUCAAAAAAUCUAUAUGCACUAUGAGUAUGAUGGAACGGAUGGACUAGUGUUUACUUAUUUAGAUUUGGGGUGACAUUUAUUGGAUCUUUUAGCCUCUUGAGAGCCAUGCAUGCUGAAUUUACUGUAUUGCAACUUUUUUAUAAAUUUCUAGCAUUUGUAAUAUUUACACAUGUCAUUAAAAAAUUAUAGGGGGGCCCAGUGGUUUAUUCUGAUGAUGAUGAGGCCAAACACCGUGAGGUCAUAAAGCGCAUGACUGCAGAGUUUGACAAGAAUAUAAAGGAGAUACACGAGAAUCUGGAUGCUAUGGAAGAAGCUGAGAGGUAAAUUCCGUAUCCAACCGGACGAGCUUUUUUACCCUAGUACUGUUUAUGAUCGCUGUAUUUUCACAGAAAUGGUUAAUUGCUUUUGGAUCAGAACAUAAAAUUAACACAAUGUAUGUGUUGCAGAAUGUUAGUCAAAAUAGUGAUCUCAUGUUUAUUAAGCAGACUACUCUGGUUUUUCAGACGCAAAGUAGGGCUAUGUUAUAAACUUUGUACUUUGUGAUAUUUUUGUAUUAGUUGUAAAAAAUCAUAUCUGCCUUUUUUAUCUUCUAACAUAUUUGCCCUUUAUGUGCAGGCUUCGCAAUGAAGACUAUGCAAAAUACCGCAAGAAGCUCAAUAAAAUUGAGACGGCGUGCGACGUUGCUCUUAUUGUGCUGGUGCCAACAACUGUCCUGCUUCUUAUGUCUCUGUAGUUUUAUUUCUUCUAGUUCGAUAAGCAACCUUAUUAUCUACUGGGUUAAGGAACCCUAUCAUGGUUUGUGUAUGUAGUAUAUGCUAGGCUUGAAUGGUUGCAGUGACUCAGGUUCUGAGGUAACAAGUAUCUAUGUGUCUGAGUUGGUUUGACAUUAUUAUUAAUCCUAAUGGACGUAUUUAUGCUAAGCA
This 41692-nucleotide long non-coding RNA is filed under the name Hordeum vulgare. RNAcentral describes it as "long non-coding RNA (HVUL_LNC003696)". The stretch from base 31624 to 31747 matches the Rfam family "MIR1120/MIR1122 microRNA precursor family". Lineage: Eukaryota; Viridiplantae; Streptophyta; Magnoliopsida; Poales; Poaceae. The record is from RNAcentral.